UAUCAGGAUGAGGACUGCCUGGUUGCUUACAUAACAAAUUACUGUCACCAGACCACACAGGGAUCCUUCAACAUUAUACCAGCUCACACAGGGAUUAUUCAACAUAACACCAGAUCACACAGGGAUCCUUCAACAUUAUACCAGCUCACACAGGGAUUAUUCAACAUAACACCAGAUCACACAGGGAUCCUUCAACAUAACACCAGAUCACACAGGGAUCCUUCAACAUUACACCAGAUCACACAGGGAUCCUUCAACAUAACACCAGAUCACACAGGGAUCCUUCAACAUUACACCAGAUCACACAGGGAUCCUUCAACAUUAUACCAGAUCACACAGGGAUCCUUCAACAUAACACCAGACCACACAGGAAUCUUUCAACAUUGCACACAGGGAUCCUUCAACAUUACACCAGACCACACAGGAAUCCUUCAACAUUACACACAGAAAUCCUUCAACAUUACACACAGGAAUCCUUCAACAUUACUCACAUGAAUCAUUCAACAUUACACACAGGGAUCCUUCAACAUUACACCAGAUCACACAGGGAUCCUUCAACAUAACACCAGAUCACACAGGGAUCCUUCAACAAAACACCAGAUCACACAGGGAUCCUUCAACAUAACACCAGAUCACACAGGGAUCCUUCAACAUUAUACCAGCUCGCACAGGGAUCCUUCAACAUUAUACCAGCUCACACAGGGAUCCUUCAACAUAACACCAGAUCACACAGGGAUCCUUCAACAUAACACCAGAUCACACAGGGAUCCUUCAACAUUACACCAGAUCACACAGGGAUUAUUCAACAUUAUACCAGCUCACACAGGGAUCCUUCAACAUAACACCAGAUCACACAGGGAUCCUUCAACAUAACACCAGAUCACACAGGGAUCCUUCAACAUUAUACCAGAUCACACAGGGAUCCUUCAACAUAACACCAGAUCACACAGGGAUUCUUCAACAUUAUACCAGAUCACACAGGGAUCCUUCAACAUAACACCAGACCACACAGGAACCUUUCAACAUUACACACAGGGAUCCUUCAACAUUACACCAGACC
This 1060-nucleotide long non-coding RNA is filed under the name Oncorhynchus mykiss (rainbow trout). RNAcentral's name for it is "lncRNA (ENSOMYG00000062095.1)". The record is from RNAcentral. Lineage: Eukaryota; Metazoa; Chordata; Actinopteri; Salmoniformes; Salmonidae.